This 61-nucleotide microRNA precursor is filed under the name Pristionchus pacificus. RNAcentral describes it as "microRNA ppc-mir-8352 precursor". The record is from miRBase by way of RNAcentral. Lineage: Eukaryota; Metazoa; Nematoda; Chromadorea; Rhabditida; Neodiplogasteridae.
UGUGCGUCGAUUGAUUGCCAACUGGAUCGUUAAGCACGUUGGCAGUGUCUCGAGGCAUAGU